GAUGGCGACGGCGCACGGGUGAGUAACACGUAUCCAACCUACCCAUGACUCGGGGAUAGCCUUUCGAAAGAAAGAUUAAUACCCGAUGGUAUAUAUUUCCUGCAUGGGGAAUAUAUUAAAGAGUUUCGGUGAUGGAUGGGGAUGCGUUCCAUUAGUUUGUUGGCGGGGUAACGGCCCACCAAGACUUCGAUGGAUAGGGGUUCUGAGAGGAAGGUCCCCCACAUUGGAACUGAGACACGGUCCAAACUCCUACGGGAGGCAGCAGUGAGGAAUAUUGGUCAAUGGACGAGAGUCUGAACCAGCCAAGUAGCGUGAAGGAUGACUGCCCUUUGGGUUGUAAACUUCUUUUAUAUGGGAAUAAAGUGGGGUAUGCAUACCCUUUUGUAUGUACCAUUAUGAAUAAGCAUCGGCUAACUCCGUGCCAGCAGCCGCGGUAAUACGGAGGAUGCGAGCGUUAUCCGGAUUUAUUGGGUUUAAAGGGAGCGUAGGUGGGCGAUUAAGUCAGUUGUGAAAGUUUGGGGCUCAACCUUAAAAUUGCAGUUGAUACUGAUUGCCUUGAGUGCGUUAAAGGUGGGCGGAAUUCGUGGUGUAGCGGUGAAAUGCUUAGAUAUCACGAAGAACUCCGAUUG
RNAcentral lists this ribosomal RNA (629 nucleotides) under uncultured Parabacteroides sp. Its description in RNAcentral is "bacterial SSU rRNA". It matches the Rfam family "Bacterial small subunit ribosomal RNA", at positions 88 to 715 of the family's 1533-position model. Lineage: Bacteria; Pseudomonadati; Bacteroidota; Bacteroidia; Bacteroidales; Tannerellaceae. The record is from RNAcentral.